Megalobrama amblycephala (Wuchang bream) is the source of this 667-nucleotide long non-coding RNA. RefSeq lists it as uncharacterized. Lineage: Eukaryota; Metazoa; Chordata; Actinopteri; Cypriniformes; Xenocyprididae. The transcript is spliced from 3 exons. The record is from RefSeq and is a predicted model, not a curated record.
AGACUUCUGAGGCAGCGUAACAGUUUAAUGAUCUACAGCAAAAUAGAGCGAGCUUUGGUGAGAACUAAACAAAUAUUUAAUUAUUACAGUAGUAAUUUCUCGAUAGAAUUGAUAUCACAAUUGAAAUGUGUUGGUCAAAAUCGUACAUUUACACACAAACUGAGCAGCAAACGCAACUUUUAAACGCCAUCUUUAUUUUUCUAGUCACUGUCACAGAAUGGAAAGCGCAGGAUUGUGGGCUAUCAAAGGCAGCUAAGGAUACAUCCAUGCUUCCUUCAAAAAUCGAUCUGAACAAGAGACUGUGACUGACCUCAUUGCUAAUAGUGGAGUCCCUAUGGAUGAGUCUGAGGACGUGGCUGUCUAUACUGCUCCCUGACGACAACUUAGCAAAGAUGGCCGACUGCAUCUCUUUCUCCCGCUGCUUCACAAUGACCUCACAUGCCUUCCACUCCCGCAUCACCUGCUGAUACCUUGCUGUGAUCUUCUCAUCAAUCUACAAAACACACAAGGGCACAUCAGACAGUCCUAUUUAAGUGCAGCCCGCUGGAAGCUCGACGGAAGCGUUGCUGCCCCCGGUGGAGCAGGACAGACAAGAUGACAUAUGACUGGUGCACUCGCCCUGCUGCCAUGACAACGGGCUGCCGCCAAAACCCUGCAUCUCCAUCAU